AACGAACGCUGGCGGCAGGCUUAACACAUGCAAGUCGAACGCAUGCCUUCGGGCAUGAGUGGCAGACGGGUGAGUAACGCGUGGGAACCUACCCCUUGGUCCGGGAUAGCUCCGGGAAACUGCAGAUAAUACCGUAUGUGUCCUGAGGGACAAAGAUUCAUCGCCAAGGGAUGGGCCCGCGUCGGAUUAGCUAGGUGGUGGGGGAACGGCCUACCAAGGCGACGAUCCGUAGCUGGUCUAAGAGGAUGAUCAGCCACAUUGGGACUGAGACACGGCCCAAACUCCUACGGGGGGCAGCAGUGGGGAAUAUUGGACAAUGGGCGCAAGCCUGAUCCAGCCAUGCCGCGUGAGUGAUGAAGGCCCUAGGGUUGUAAAGCUCUUUCACCGGUGGCGAUAAUGACGGUAACCGGAGAAGAAGCCCCGGCUAACUUCGUG
RNAcentral lists this ribosomal RNA (435 nucleotides) under uncultured bacterium. RNAcentral's name for it is "partial 16S ribosomal RNA". It matches the Rfam family "Bacterial small subunit ribosomal RNA", at positions 29 to 507 of the family's 1533-position model. The record is from RNAcentral.